CGUUUUGACCGUAGGAGUAUAUAGAGUCUAUAAAAUAUCAUAAAAACAAGAAAUAUUACCAGAUAAUGUUAUUUUAUAUUAGUUCCGUACACAAAAAAUAAAUAUCCAACUGAUGAUUAUGAGUUUGACGGCUUUUCUUCAUUUCAUUCUGUCAAAACAUAACGAUUGUAUACAUGAAGGGCACCUGCAAGGCUUCAGGGAUUGUAUCGAGUUGUUCCCCUUCGCAUAAUUGUUACCUGUGUCAGUCAACUUUCGUUUUAUUGGAAAGUGUCCACAAGGCGUUCAUCAGGACCGCUCAUCAGAUGCCAGCUCUCAGAAGCUGCGGGAACUGUUCGAGUACGUGUGCGACGAGUGGCUUGAUAACUCACUUGACGGGUGAUCUGUCUGCAUGAAAAAGUCCGGACAAACAGCGUUAACGAAGAAUUGCACCGACGCAUGAAUUCGAGGGCAGGUCGAGAAAAACUCCGGCUUUAACGUUUCGCUUUGGUUCUACUGAAGGGACGCGGCGAAGCUCUUUCCACGCGGCGAAGCUCUUUCCACUCCAGGCAAAGCUGGUAGUGUUAAACGAAAAAGGCGUGAGGUAUACUCAGACAUGGACACACGCAAACAAGAGUUGUUGUAGCAGUACGACACGUGCAUGAUAUCUUUUGCGAGGAUUUCCAUUCGGAGAUAGGGGAGAUUUAUGGCUAAGACGGUCUAAACAGCUAAUUGAUCAGACAUACAUUUUUUUAUUUAUCUCCAUGUGUAUUUUUUCUGAAUUUACGUAUUAAAAAGAACAAUUUUAGUAUUGUAAACGCAGUUAAUAACUUUAAAAGGUGAGAAAUUAGGUGCUGAAAAGUGUUCAUCUAUUAGGGGUUGAAAAGUUGAUUUAUGUGGGGGGGGUCUUAGUCUAGCCCUUCAAGGGGUUAAAUAGUGUGACAGCCAUUAUUACUAUUAUUAUUAUUAGGAUGAUUAUUAUUAUUUUUUUGUUUUUUUGUUGUUUGUGUUCUUGUUUUUGUUGUUGUCUUUGUUGGUGUUGCUGCUGUUAUCAGACCGGAAGGGCGUCUACUUGUAAGAAGUGUUGAGUGCUACCCUUCAUUGUCUCAACAGUCGACGUUAUAUUCUAUACACGUUCACGGUCUGAUUACUGGAAUCUAUACACCCCCAUUGAAAUGUCGUAAAAUAUAUGAAAAUUU
Long non-coding RNA from Mya arenaria, 1175 nucleotides. RefSeq lists it as uncharacterized. The record is from RefSeq and is a predicted model, not a curated record. The transcript has 3 exons. NCBI's taxonomy places the organism in Eukaryota, Metazoa, Mollusca, Bivalvia, Myida, Myidae.